UACAGAGGGUGCGAGCGUUUAAUCGGAAUUACUGGGCGUAAAGCGUGCGUAGACGGUUAUUUAAGUCGGGUGUGAAAGCCCCGGGCUCAACCUGGGAAUUGCAUUCGAGACUGAAUAGCUAGGGUACGGUAGAGGGAAGUGGAAUUUCCGGUGUAGCGGUGAAAUGCGUAGAUAUCGGAAGGAACAUCAGUGGCGAAAGCGACUUCCUGGACCAGUACCGACGUUCAGGCACGAAAGCGUGGGGAGCAAACAGG
This 254-nucleotide ribosomal RNA is filed under the name uncultured bacterium. RNAcentral describes it as "partial 16S ribosomal RNA". It matches the Rfam family "Bacterial small subunit ribosomal RNA", at positions 524 to 776 of the family's 1533-position model. The record is from RNAcentral.